UCACAGGAGAGCAGGGAACUGAAACUCCAAACCUCAGUUCUUAAGUUCUGACAAAAGAAAAAUUUAAAGUCAGACACCAAAAGCCAUGCAAGAGAACUUACUAUAAGUGAGGUGAAAAUAAAGUACAAGAAAAGUGAGGCUUAAGCAAAGAGCACUCAAAGAAUGGAUGAUCUCUGUGCAAAGAAUAACAAGGGAGACAAUGCUGUCCUCCAAUUUUAUUACUGUUUGAGGUUUACCAGGAGAACUAGUGACCACCUUCGUACUCAUUGCAAUCAGGUGUUCAACUCCUCCUUCACAUUGGGUGGCAGGUGGCAGAGUUUUUGACCUUAAUUGGUUCUCUCUGGAACUGUGAUGGUGGCCAUCCUAUUUAGAGGGGCUUCAUCUACAAGUCAAUCCCAUGUUAAUGAGGGCACUGAGGUCAAUAGCUGGUCAGAAGUUACCUCAGUAGGCCUGUGCUACUAAAGGAAUCUUCCUUCCCAGACAAUUGGAGACACUUAUAGACAUAAUUCCUAACUUCACAUCAACCUCAGUGGACUCUGUCAAGAGUCCUUUCCUCUUGAUGUGAUUUUCAACUAGCUCCCUUGCUUCUGUUUAUUGUCUACAAAUUAACUAUUACCCUUUGCUUUCUGGUCUACUUUGGAAUUAGUUUAAAGCAGACCCUAAAGUAAUUUAAAGAACACUUGUGACCUUGCCUGCAUUUUACUGCUCAUUGCUAGCUACCACCUAACAGUAGGGUGCUUGCCAAGUACAGGUGAGACCCUGGGUUCAAUCCCAGCACCACCACCACCAUCAAAAAAAAAAAAAUCUACAAUGGGUUUUCUUUCUUUUUUUGGUCCAUUGAUUUCACUGAUUUGUUUACUCUUUGACCAUCCACUCUCUGACCUCCUAGGAGGUUUCUGACAAGGUGUCUUUGCCUCCAUGUGUUAUCUAGACUAUUGAUUAUAAAACUCUAGUUUUCUGAUCAUCUGCUCAUUUUAGACUUCUGCCUCUUAAAACAGUCAAUUUUAGGCAGACCACACCCAUCACCUCCUGUCUUCACUCCCUCCCAUCAUUGGACGUGUCUUCCUACUGGGCCCACCACCCAGUGAGCCUUCACCCAUUAGAAAGAAAUUCAGGCAGAGGAGAAAUAUCCACAUAGUGAAAUCCUGUGCAGCCACUAAAAUUUAUCUUCACUAACCAUUUCAACGGGGAACUGUUUACACUGGAAUUGUGAUUUGGUCAAAAGCAAAGACCUAGGCCUCAAUGGAAAUAAACGGAUUGAGGAAGGUGAUCUGAGUCCAAGACGGCUCCCUUCUCUGCUAAGCAAUGUGUGAAAGCAAAAGAAAGAGUUCUUUCUUAAUAAAUUCAGUAUGGUUAGUUCAAAGGAAUACGGCCAGAGUUGAAAAGUAUCAUUCAGAGUAGAUUUGGGAGAUGCUUAAAAAGAAAACAAAUCUUCUAGAUGUAGAACUUGCUGAAAUUUCAACUCUCCUAGGAAGGAAAGAGCAAAAGCCAGGAUGAAAGACCUCUGCUCUUUACCUCAUCCCUGCACCCAGGGACUGGAGGGAUCCUCAUUACCCAUCACCUUUGUUACCAGGACCAACAAAAAGAACAGCCUUGACCCUGAAAUGUUGGGUAAAGAAUUAUUUGCAAACUAAAAGAGAGAAAACUCCAAUGCCCACCAGUAUAUGAGAAGAGCAAGAAAAUGAAGCUGAGCAAGUACAAGAAAAACCAGAGGUGGAGGAGACAUUCACCCAGCCCUGCCCUGCCCAGGGGGAGCAGCUGCUUCUCAGCUCCCAGCAGCUGCUGUUCCACAGGAAUGUGGGCCCGGCAUUGUCAGAUCUCAAUGUUCUUUCAAAAGAGGCUAGAAAUACAGGUUUUCAUAUGAAAAAUAGGCAUAAAUACACUCACACUACACCAAAGGGGGAAUAGCUGUUAUUUUGGGGUGGUGAAAUUGGGAGUCAUUUUCCUUUUUAUUUUUACACUUAACUAGAGGCUUUUGAAUUUUAACUGCGAACAUGACAUUACUUUUAUAAUCAGAGAAAAGAUAAUGCUGCUUAUUAAAUAUUUUAAAAUGAAUUAACUAAACAGGGCAUUAAAAUAAGGAUCAAACAACAAAUGCUACAGGAACAAUCUCCAGAUGUAUGCUAACAUGUGACUUGAUUUUAUGUUUUGUGAUUAAAGUUUGCAAUAUAUACCAACUAUAGCAACAUGCCAAGCCUCAGGCCUCCUGAUUCUAGGUUGGUGGUCACUAUGUGGAGGUAUCGUUUCCACAUCAGGAUUUAUAAAAACAAAUUUUUCCAUGGUAUUAUCAUCAUUUCUGUUUAAUUAAGAAUUUAGGUCAGCUUCUAUAAUGUGUCCUGACUCUGGCUAGACGUUGGAAAAAAAGAACAGUCCAUGCUUCCUGCAAACUAAUUACAAGAUGGUCUAGAUAGGGUACUUUGGAGUAUCAAGUGAGUUAAAAUUUGUAAAGCACUUUAGAUAGAUGCUUGGCACAAAGCAGGCCCCAAAUGAACGUUAUAGUUCUCUUUUGGUAUUGACUUUGUUAACAUCAUUGUUAUUAUUCAAGAAGCAGCAGUUAAGAAUGAAGGAAAUGAUCAAGCAAAAGAUGGAGAAGGAAAAGAAAAUCCUUGGAAAUAGAACAAGUGGGAACAAGAAGAGAGGAAGAGGUGAUUUAAAGGAAAAGGUGGGGGGCAUUGAGCACAGUAGAUGUCACAAAGUAUGAUUCUAAUAAAGUUUCAUUCUGAAUGUAAAGCCUUAUGUAAAGUUAAGAGGGUUGUCUUUAGAAGGGAGUUGAGAAGGACAGAGGGAUGCCAUGUGCCAAAACAAACUCCCACUUUCUCAUCAGCUCAGUGUCAGACCUGGCCACACACAUUCAACAGACUUGGUGGACAAAGCACCUCUGCACCGCUUCUGUGAAGCAUGGGGUUAAGCACUAAACUCGCAUGCAUUUUCUCCUUGCAGAGCCCUCUGUACCCAGGAGAUUUCUGUGAUUGACACCAGAGGACCUUGGCUCAAAGUUAAUGAUUUUGUUCCUUUUGAAUUCCUGUGAGAUUGUAUUUCUUUGGGUUCCAGGAGUUCAGUGGGACCUCUGUAGUGAUUUUAGUCCAGGAACACUUGCUGUGAUAAAAAGAAACUACAGGGAAGGCUUGCUGCUUGUCUGCCUGGUGCUGUUUCCCAAUGCAAUUGUGAAUAUGUGCUUUCAGAGAAUGCAGGAAGAGAUUCUAUUUCCAGGGCCUGGUCAUGAGACUUCUGUCUAAAAAACUGAGAGGUCAGAAUCUUGUGCUAUGCACACAUGUUCCCUACCUGGAAGCAACCCUUUCAGGCUAGAGUCACGCGGACUCUAAAAUGAUGUUUGCAUAGACAAAAGUGUGAUUAUCAACUUGCUCUGACUUCUCAAUGAUUACACAACAGGCCACCAGUUGAUAAACAGCUUUAUCGUUAGAUAUACUUCAGCAUUCAACUAUGCCAUCAUUUCAUUUUUUGUGUUGAACUGGUGUUUUGUUUUCUUGCUCUCUUUCCCCAAUCACUCCCUUCCCUCACUGAAGUAAGAAACCAGGGUAGGAAAGUAAAUACCUGCUCGAACUGAUAAUGAAUUAUUAAAAUUUCUGCUUCACCAUAGAAAACCAGAUUCUGGCACUAUUACCUAUGUUGGCCCAGAAAUGCAAUUUUUAAUCUCCCUGGCCCCAAAGAAAUCACAGAAGUCUCCCUUUUGCUUUGUAGCUUCCGACAGGGGCCCAGAUUCUAUCUGUGUCAAUGAUAUUCUGGAUGUAGGAGCUCUCAGUGCCUUGGGCCAGGCAGAGGCACAAGAAAACUUCG
This 3795-nucleotide long non-coding RNA is filed under the name Marmota monax (woodchuck). The record is from RNAcentral. Lineage: Eukaryota; Metazoa; Chordata; Mammalia; Rodentia; Sciuridae.